CUACGGGAGGCUGCAGUGAGGAAUUUUGCGCAAUGGGGGCAACCCUGACGCAGCAACGCCGCGUGAGUGAAGAAGGCCUUUGGGUCGUAAAGCUCUGUCAACAGGGAAGAAGUUACCUGAUAUUAAUAGUAUCUGGUAUUGACGGUACCUGUGGAGGAAGCAUCGGCUAACUCCGUGCCAGCAGCCGCGGUAAUACGGGGGAUGCAAGCGUUAUUCGGAAUCAUUGGGCGUAAAGGGCACGCAGGCGGUCUUGUCAGUCAGAUGUGAAAGCCCGGGGCUCAACCCCGGACGUGCAUUUGAAACAGCAAGACUUGAGUACGGUAGAGGAAAGCGGAAUUCCUGGUGUAGAGGUGAAAUUCGUAGAUAUCAGGAGGAACACCGGUGGCGAAGGCGGCUUUCUGGACCGAAACUGACGCUGAGGUGCGAAGGCGUGGGUAGCGAACAGGAUUAGAUACCCCGGUAGUC
RNAcentral lists this ribosomal RNA (465 nucleotides) under uncultured bacterium. RNAcentral describes it as "partial 16S ribosomal RNA". It matches the Rfam family "Bacterial small subunit ribosomal RNA", at positions 339 to 795 of the family's 1533-position model. The record is from RNAcentral.